RNAcentral lists this microRNA precursor (59 nucleotides) under Chlorocebus sabaeus (green monkey). Its description in RNAcentral is "miRNA (ENSCSAG00000027736.1)". The record is from RNAcentral. Lineage: Eukaryota; Metazoa; Chordata; Mammalia; Primates; Cercopithecidae.
GUGAGUAGUGGCGCGCGGCGGCCCGGAGUACCGCCGCCGCGCGCGUCUGCUCACCGUGC